Molecule: long non-coding RNA, 312 nt
Filed under: Physcomitrium patens
Lineage: Eukaryota; Viridiplantae; Streptophyta; Bryopsida; Funariales; Funariaceae
Description: long non-coding RNA (PPAT_LNC005383)
Source: RNAcentral
GAGAAGGCUGGAGGAGGGAAGAUUCCAUGUAGUUUCGAGGCCGAAAGGAGGGGCAGGAGGGUGAAUUAGGCCAUAAUUAGGGGAAGGCCUUGUGGGCUGUAUCUCAUGAAAUCGCUGUAAUCCGGGAUGGAUGGAUGAAUCGGUAUUUGGAUUGAUGAUAUGCAAUGAGAUGGAUGGAUGGUAAUUUGCGGCUGGCAAGGAUUCGGCUAUUCCCGUCGUAUUCCUUGCGUUCCUACAGGCUUUGUGGUUGGAUUUGUAUCAUAGCCCAUUAUUAUGCGCAUCAUGGUCAUGCUCUCCACUCUUAUCUCCCUC